GGGGAAUAUUGGACAAUGGGGGGAACCCUGAUCCAGCCAUGCCGCGUGUGUGAAGAAGGCAUUUUUGUUGUAAAGCACUUUAAGCGAGGAGGAGGGUACUUCUGUUAAUACCAGAAAGUAUUGGACGUUACUCGCAGAAUAAGCACCGGCUAACUCUGUGCCAGCAGCCGCGGUAAUACAGAGGGUGCGAGCGUUAAUCGGAUUUACUGGGCGUAAAGCGUGCGUAGGCGGCUAAUUAAGUCAAAUGUGAAAUCCCCGAGCUUAACUUGGGAAUUGCAUUCGAUACUGGUUAGCUAGAGUAUGGGAGAGGAUGGUAGAAUUCCAGGUGUAGCGGUGAAAUGCGUAGAGAUCUGGAGGAAUACCGAUGGCGAAGGCAGCCAUCUGGCCUAAUACUGACGCUGAGGUACGAAAGCAUGGGGAGCAAAC
Molecule: ribosomal RNA, 426 nt
Filed under: uncultured bacterium
Lineage: Bacteria
Description: bacterial SSU rRNA
Rfam family: Bacterial small subunit ribosomal RNA
Source: RNAcentral